RNAcentral lists this ribosomal RNA (492 nucleotides) under uncultured bacterium. RNAcentral describes it as "bacterial SSU rRNA". It matches the Rfam family "Bacterial small subunit ribosomal RNA", at positions 30 to 517 of the family's 1533-position model. The record is from RNAcentral.
AUUGAACGCUGGCGGCAUGCCUUACACAUGCAAGUCGAACGGCAGCACGGGAGCAAUCCUGGUGGCGAGUGGCGAACGGGUGAGUAAUGUAUCGGAACGUACCUUUCAGUGGGGGAUAACGUAGCGAAAGUUACGCUAAUACCGCAUAUUCUGUGAGCAGGAAAGCAGGGGAUCGCAAGACCUUGCGCUGAUUGAGCGGCCGAUAUCAGAUUAGCUAGUUGGUGAGGUAAAGGCUCACCAAGGCGACGAUCUGUAGCGGGUCUGAGAGGAUGAUCCGCCACACUGGAACUGAGACACGGUCCAGACUCCUACGGGAGGCAGCAGUGGGGGAAUUUUGGACAAUGGGCGCAAGCCUGAUCCAGCCAUGCCGCGUGCAGGAAGACGGCCCUACGGGUUGUAAACUGCUUUUCCGGGGGUAAGAAUAAUCCCGACGUGUCGGGAGAUGCCGGUACCCCGGGAACUAAGGAUCGGCUAACUCCGUGCCAGCAGCCG